GUCGACGAGAUCUUGUGCAAUGUGCAUCACCUCAAUCUGCAUGUUAGGUUCCUUAUCAUUACUAAUAAAUAAAUAAAUAAAAACAAUAGUACAUAGUCGCACAGAACAAACUUGAUUCACAAGCUUGAGAAAGAAAAAGACAGACUGCAAAACUGGAAAGAAAACCUUAACACAUAUACAUAUGGCUUGUUAUGAACGAUCUUCUUAUACUUUCUUUGGAUCUGGCGACUAGUUGAUCUAUCUGAGAAACAGAAUAAAGCAUAUUAACUAUUAAAAUGAAAAGGUGAAAGAACUAACAAAAGGUCACAAUUCUAGAUUAACUUUGGCGUGAAGAGUAAAGUGUUAGUUAAGCAGGUAAAGACUAAGAAUGUUGAAGCUUUG
Molecule: long non-coding RNA, 381 nt
Filed under: Glycine max (soybean)
Lineage: Eukaryota; Viridiplantae; Streptophyta; Magnoliopsida; Fabales; Fabaceae
Description: long non-coding RNA (GMAX_LNC004640)
Source: RNAcentral